This 57-nucleotide ribosomal RNA is filed under the name Jacquemontia pentanthos. RNAcentral describes it as "partial 26S ribosomal RNA". Lineage: Eukaryota; Viridiplantae; Streptophyta; Magnoliopsida; Solanales; Convolvulaceae. The record is from RNAcentral.
GACCCCAGGUCAGGCGGGACUACCCGCUGAGUUUAAGCAUAUCAAUAAGCAGAGGAA